Molecule: ribosomal RNA, 1443 nt
Filed under: Limosilactobacillus fermentum
Lineage: Bacteria; Bacillati; Bacillota; Bacilli; Lactobacillales; Lactobacillaceae
Description: bacterial SSU rRNA
Rfam family: Bacterial small subunit ribosomal RNA
Source: RNAcentral
AGUCGAACGCGUUGGCCCAAUUGAUUGAUGGUGCUUGCACCUGAUUGAUUUUGGUCGCCAACGAGUGGCGGACGGGUGAGUAACACGUAGGUAACCUGCCCAGAAGCGGGGGACAACAUUUGGAAACAGAUGCUAAUACCGCAUAACAGCGUUGUUCGCAUGAACAACGCUUAAAAGAUGGCUUCUCGCUAUCACUUCUGGAUGGACCUGCGGUGCAUUAGCUUGUUGGUGGGGUAACGGCCUACCAAGGCGAUGAUGCAUAGCCGAGUUGAGAGACUGAUCGGCCACAAUGGGACUGAGACACGGCCCAUACUCCUACGGGAGGCAGCAGUAGGGAAUCUUCCACAAUGGGCGCAAGCCUGAUGGAGCAACACCGCGUGAGUGAAGAAGGGUUUCGGCUCGUAAAGCUCUGUUGUUAAAGAAGAACACGUAUGAGAGUAACUGUUCAUACGUUGACGGUAUUUAACCAGAAAGUCACGGCUAACUACGUGCCAGCAGCCGCGGUAAUACGUAGGUGGCAAGCGUUAUCCGGAUUUAUUGGGCGUAAAGAGAGUGCAGGCGGUUUUCUAAGUCUGAUGUGAAAGCCUUCGGCUUAACCGGAGAAGUGCAUCGGAAACUGGAUAACUUGAGUGCAGAAGAGGGUAGUGGAACUCCCAUGUGUAGCGGUGGAAUGCGUAGAUAUAUGGAAGAACACCAGUGGCGAAGGCGGCUACCUGGUCUGCAACUGACGCUGAGACUCGAAAGCAUGGGUAGCGAACAGGAUUAGAUACCCUGGUAGUCCAUGCCGUAAACGAUGAGUGCUAGGUGUUGGAGGGUUUCCGCCCUUCAGUGCCGGAGCUAACGCAUUAAGCACUCCGCCUGGGGAGUACGACCGCAAGGUUGAAACUCAAAGGAAUUGACGGGGGCCCGCACAAGCGGUGGAGCAUGUGGUUUAAUUCGAAGCUACGCGAAGAACCUUACCAGGUCUUGACAUCUUGCGCCAACCCUAGAGAUAGGGCGUUUCCUUCGGGAACGCAAUGACAGGUGGUGCAUGGUCGUCGUCAGCUCGUGUCGUGAGAUGUUGGGUUAAGUCCCGCAACGAGCGCAACCCUUGUUACUAGUUGCCAGCAUUAAGUUGGGCACUCUAGUGAGACUGCCGGUGACAAACCGGAGGAAGGUGGGGACGACGUCAGAUCAUCAUGCCCCUUAUGACCUGGGCUACACACGUGCUACAAUGGACGGUACAACGAGUCGCGAACUCGCGAGGGCAAGCAAAUCUCUUAAAACCGUUCUCAGUUCGGACUGCAGGCUGCAACUCGCCUGCACGAAGUCGGAAUCGCUAGUAAUCGCGGAUCAGCAUGCCGCGGUGAAUACGUUCCCGGGCCUUGUACACACCGCCCGUCACACCAUGAGAGUUUGUAACACCCAAAGUCGGUGGGGUAACCUUUUAGGAGCCAGCCGCCU